UACGGAGGGGGCUAGCGUUGUCCGGAUUUACUGGGCGUAAAGAGCGCGCAGGCGGUCGUUCAAGUCGAGUGUGAAAGCCCCCGGCUCAACUGGGGAGGGUCAUUCGAUACUGAUCGACUGGAAGGCAGGAGAGGGAAGCGGAAUUCCCGGUGUAGUGGUGAAAUGCGUAGAUAUCGGGAGGAACACCAGUGGCGAAGGCGGCUUCCUGGCCUGUUCUUGACGCUGAGGCGCGAAAGCUAGGGGAGCAAACGGG
RNAcentral lists this ribosomal RNA (253 nucleotides) under uncultured bacterium. RNAcentral describes it as "partial 16S ribosomal RNA". It matches the Rfam family "Bacterial small subunit ribosomal RNA", at positions 524 to 776 of the family's 1533-position model. The record is from RNAcentral.